UUCCUACGGGAGGCUGCAGUGGGGAAUUUUGGACAAUGGGCGAAAGCCUGAUCCAGCCAUGCCGCGUGAGUGAAGAAGGCCUUCGGGUUGUAAAGCUCUUUCGGUCGAGAAGAAAUGUCUAUGACUAAUACUUAUAGAAAAUGACGGUAUCGACAUAAGAAGCCCCGGCUAACUACGUGCCAGACGCCGCGGUAAUACGUAGGGUGCAAGCGUUAAUCGGAAUUAUUGGGCGUAAAGGGUGCGCAGGCUGUGUUGUAAGUCAGAUGUGAAAUCCCCGGGCUUAACCUGGGAAUUGCGUUUGAAACUGCAAUGCUAGAGUGUGAUAGAGGAGAGUGGAAUUCCAUGUGUAGCAGUGAAAUGCGUAGAGAUGUGGAAGAACACCAAUGGCGAAGGCAGCUCUCUGGAUUAACACUGACGCUCAUGCACGAAAGCGUGGGGAGCAAACAGGAUUAGAUACCCCAGUAGUCC
RNAcentral lists this ribosomal RNA (468 nucleotides) under uncultured Nitrosomonadaceae bacterium. RNAcentral describes it as "bacterial SSU rRNA". It matches the Rfam family "Bacterial small subunit ribosomal RNA", at positions 336 to 796 of the family's 1533-position model. The record is from RNAcentral. Lineage: Bacteria; Pseudomonadati; Pseudomonadota; Betaproteobacteria; Nitrosomonadales; Nitrosomonadaceae.